GCCGGACGACGUGGUGAUUUGAACGACCCAGAUUGCGGGCCACGCUAAACAUUCCGCUAAAGAGGGGGCCUGGUCCU
This 77-nucleotide non-coding RNA is filed under the name Ketogulonicigenium vulgare. Lineage: Bacteria; Pseudomonadati; Pseudomonadota; Alphaproteobacteria; Rhodobacterales; Roseobacteraceae. The record is from RNAcentral. RNAcentral also lists the same sequence under 1 other name.